RNAcentral lists this transfer RNA (85 nucleotides) under Prevotella sp. Its description in RNAcentral is "tRNA-Leu(cag)". It matches the Rfam family "tRNA". From Rfam's summary of the family: Transfer RNA (tRNA) molecules are approximately 80 nucleotides in length. Their secondary structure includes four short double-helical elements and three loops (D, anti-codon, and T loops). The record is from RNAcentral. Lineage: Bacteria; Pseudomonadati; Bacteroidota; Bacteroidia; Bacteroidales; Prevotellaceae. RNAcentral also lists the same sequence under 4 other names.
GCCCAGGUGGCGGAAUUGGUAGACGCGCACGUUUCAGGUGCGUGUGUUUCACGACGUGCAGGUUCGAGUCCUGUUCUGGGCACCA